This 179-nucleotide unclassified non-coding RNA is filed under the name uncultured Sebacina. Its description in RNAcentral is "sequence contains ITS1". Lineage: Eukaryota; Fungi; Basidiomycota; Agaricomycetes; Sebacinales; Sebacinaceae. The record is from RNAcentral.
AUGAAACUUCAAAGUCGGCCGACAGUUGUUGCUGGUGAUUCACUUCACAUGUGCACACUGACGGUCGCAAUCCACACACACCUGUGCAUCUAUGACUCGAGGUUGUAAUGACUGAGAGUAACUUUUACACACUCUUGUAUGUAAUGGAAUGUCUUUUGUGCUAUAAUGUACAAUAUAAA